This 468-nucleotide ribosomal RNA is filed under the name uncultured bacterium. RNAcentral's name for it is "partial 16S ribosomal RNA". It matches the Rfam family "Bacterial small subunit ribosomal RNA", at positions 28 to 507 of the family's 1533-position model. The record is from RNAcentral.
GUCGAACGCUGGCGGCGUGCUUAACACAUGCAAGUCGAACGGAAAGGCCCUGCUUUUGUGGGGUGCUCGAGUGGCGAACGGGUGAGUAGCACGGGAGUAACCUGCCCUUUACUUUGGGAUAACUUCAGGAAACUGGUGCUAAUACCUGAUAGGAGCUCCUGCUGCAUGGUGGUGGUUGGAAAGCUUAGGCGGUGGUGGAUGUACUCGCGGCUUAUCAGCUUGUUGGGGGGGUAGUGGCUUACCAAGGCUUUGGCGGGUGGUCCGCCUGAGAGGGGAGACAGCGACAAUGGGACUGAGAGACGGCGCAGACUGCUACGGGGGGCAGCGGGGGGGAAUAUUGCCCAGUGGGCGGGAGCGUGAUGCAGAAACGCUGCGUGUGGGAUGACGGCCUUCGGGGUGUAAACCGCAUUCGCCUAUGACGAAGCGUGAGUGACGGUAAUGGGUAAAGAAGCACCGGCUAACUACGUG